Non-coding RNA from Myotis davidii, 57 nucleotides. NCBI's taxonomy places the organism in Eukaryota, Metazoa, Chordata, Mammalia, Chiroptera, Vespertilionidae. The record is from Rfam.
UGGCUCAGUGGAUAGAGCAUUGGCCUGCAGACCCAAGGGUUCCAGGUUCGAUUCUGG